CUGGCUCAGGAUGAACGCUAGCGGCAGGCUUAACACAUGCAAGUCGAGGGGCAUCGGGAGUAGCAAUACUGCCGGCGACCGGCGCAAGGGUGCGUAACGCGUGAGCAACAUGCCCGUAUCAGGGGGAUAAUCCAUGGAAACGUGGUCUAAUACCCCAUAGUAAUUAUGUAAGGCAUCUUAUAUAAUUUAAAGCUUUGGUGGAUACGGAUUGGCUCGCGUGACAUUAGCUAGAUGGUAAGGUAACGGCUUACCAUGGCUACGAUGUCUAGGGGUUCUGAGAGGAAGGUCCCCCACACUGGAACUGAGACACGGUCCAGACUCCUACGGGAGGCAGCAGUGAGGAAUAUUGGACAAUGGAUGGAAAUCUGAUCCAGCUAUGCCGCGUGCAGGAAGAACCGGCCCUAUGGGUUGUAAACUGCUUUUGUAUGGGAGCAAUAAGGGCUACGUGUAGUCCGAUGAGAGUACCAUACGAAUAAGCACCGGCUAACUCCGUGCCAGCAGCAGC
Molecule: ribosomal RNA, 505 nt
Filed under: uncultured bacterium
Lineage: Bacteria
Description: bacterial SSU rRNA
Rfam family: Bacterial small subunit ribosomal RNA
Source: RNAcentral